CCUACGGGAGGCUGCAGUGGGGAAUAUUGGACAAUGGGGGGAACCCUGAUCCAGCCAUGCCGCGUGUGUGAAGAAGGCCCUCGGGUUGUAAAGCACUUUCAGUGAGGAAGAACGCCUGGUGGUUAAUACCCAUCAGGAAAGACAUCACUCACAGAAGAAGCACCGGCUAACUCCGUGCCAGCAGCCGCGGUAAUACGGAGGGUGCGAGCGUUAAUCGGAAUUACUGGGCGUAAAGCGCGCGUAGGUGGCUUGAUAAGCCGGUUGUGAAAGCCCCGGGCUCAACCUGGGAACGGCAUCCGGAACUGUCAAGCUAGAGUGCAGGAGAGGAAGGUAGAAUUCCCGGUGUAGCGGUGAAAUGCGUAGAGAUCGGGAGGAAUACCAGUGGCGAAGGCGGCCUUCUGGACCGACACUGACACUGAGGUGCGAAAGCGUGGGUAGCAAACAGGAUUAGAUACCCUUGUAGUC
Molecule: ribosomal RNA, 465 nt
Filed under: Vreelandella stevensii
Lineage: Bacteria; Pseudomonadati; Pseudomonadota; Gammaproteobacteria; Oceanospirillales; Halomonadaceae
Description: partial 16S ribosomal RNA
Rfam family: Bacterial small subunit ribosomal RNA
Source: RNAcentral